This 22-nucleotide microRNA is filed under the name Columba livia (rock pigeon). RNAcentral describes it as "cli-miR-9649-3p". Lineage: Eukaryota; Metazoa; Chordata; Aves; Columbiformes; Columbidae. The record is from miRBase by way of RNAcentral.
GAGAUGCUGGGUGAAACAGUGU